AAUUACUGGAAAUUGAGUCUUGUUACCGUUAUUUGGGAACACCGGUAGUUUAACUGGCGUUGCUCGACGUCGUAGAAGAGCGUAAACCUGACCAAGGGAGUGCUUUACGGGCGGGGGAAUGUGAGGACGAGUACCCCUCGACAAAUACCCGUUGCAAUGAACCACAGGGAUCGUUUGCAGCGUAUUCUUCCACGCGACUCCCACGUUUGACAACGACAGACGAUGAGAUGGUAGAUGUCAGUGAGGAUGACGUGCAGAAUUGAUAGGAGGUGCAAACACUAAUGAAUGGUUAAUUUGAUAUUUUUGCAAAACCUUAAAAACUACUUAUAUCUACUUAUCAACUAAGUUAAUUUGUGGACUUAAUAAGUGACUUCAGCCUAGUCUACGAGUACGGAUUGAGCCUACUAAAUCUAAAGAUAAACAAAGGAAAAACUGAAAAAAUCUAAAGCUUUUCCCAACCCUACAAAGUGUUUCGGAGCUGCUAUUAGAUUCAGUUCAAGGAUUUACCGCAUUUAGUUCACCACUGAACUGCGAACUGCGACUUCAUAAGUGCGACAACGUAAAUAAAAGUGCGCGUUUGCAUCAAAUCAGGUUGAUGUCUUCGGCGCACUAUUUCUUCAAUCUAUGGUGAACAAGUGCUCUGAAGACACCGAGUUGAUUUGAUGCAAUCGCGCACUUUUAUUAACGUUUUCGCACUCGUGAAAACUAGUGCGAUAGUCCAGUGGUGAACUAAAUGCGCUAUACUCAAGUAAUUUACUGUUUUCUAGUAACUGUUUUCGCA
Molecule: long non-coding RNA, 781 nt
Organism: Aedes albopictus (Asian tiger mosquito)
Lineage: Eukaryota; Metazoa; Arthropoda; Insecta; Diptera; Culicidae
Exons: 3
Source: RefSeq, a predicted model, not a curated record